Molecule: long non-coding RNA, 754 nt
Organism: Marmota monax (woodchuck)
Lineage: Eukaryota; Metazoa; Chordata; Mammalia; Rodentia; Sciuridae
Exons: 5
Source: RefSeq, a predicted model, not a curated record
UCACUGAAAUGUAUUUCAUCUGCUUAUUUUAUAUACAAGGAACCAAGGAAGACUGAACUCCUUUGAUGGUCAGACUCUUCCAGCCCCUACAAUCUUAACUUUGGGAAAUCAGAGUUCUCACAACAGUUCUGAGUUACUUAAAUGUGGAGAAUGCUGAAACAAACCUAACUUGUAUUUUUUUCCCCCCAGCCCUUUUUAUAUUUUAUUUAGAGACAAGAUCUUGCUGAGUUGCUUAGGGCCUCACUAAUUUGCUGAGGCUAGCCUUGAACUUGCUAUCCUCCUGCCUCAGCCUCCCGGAGUCAAUGGAUUACAGAUCUACCACCUUUGAUUAUCUAUUCAUGGAUUGGUGGACAUCUGGGUUGUUCCCACCUUAUCGGUACUGUGAAGAGUGCUGCAAUGAUUUGUAUGAUAUUCUAAGCUGCCGAGGCUGGCCUCCCAACUUGUGAUCCUCCUGCCUCAGUCUCCCGUGUCACUGGAAUUACAGGCCUACGCUACCACACCUGUGGCUUUCUUGAUAUAGAAAGCUAUACCUCCUACCAGAUCCAGCCCUGCAGCAGCAUAAGACACCCUGUCCCUUGAGUCAGGCAGCAGCUGCAGUUGCAUCUAUCCAUGGCAGUUUUACUCCUUGUCAGACUGAGGGGGGUCGCUUCCCUAACAAAGAUGGAACAAGGUAAGAUGAGAUUUUCAUUUUUUCAGAGAGAAUAUAAUUGUGCCCUAAAUGGGCUCCUUUUCUCUCUCUCUCUCUCUCUCUCUU